CCUACGGGAGGCAGCAGUGAGGAAUAUUGGUCAAUGGACGAAAGGCUGAACCAGCCAAGUCGCGUGAAGGAAGACUGCCCUAUGGUUUGUAAACUUCUUUUAUAUGGGAAUAAAGUUUUCCACGUGUGGAAUUUUGUAUGUACCCUAUGAAUAAGCAUCGGCUAACUCCGUGCCAGCAGCCGCGGUAAUACGGAGGAUCCGAGCGUUAUCCGGAUUUAUUGGGUUUAAAGGGAGCGUAGGUUGUUUUUUAAGUCAGUUGUGAAAGUUUGCGGCUCAACCGUAAAAUUGCAGUUGAAACUGGCAGUCUUGAGUACAGUAGAGGUGGGCGGAAUUCGUGGUGUAGCGGUGAAAUGCUGAGAUAUCACGAAGAACUCCGAUUGCGAAGGCAGUUCACUGGACUGCAACUGACACUGAGGCUCGAAAGUGUGGGUAUCAAACAGGAUUAGAUACCCGUGUAGUC
RNAcentral lists this ribosomal RNA (460 nucleotides) under uncultured bacterium. RNAcentral describes it as "partial 16S ribosomal RNA". It matches the Rfam family "Bacterial small subunit ribosomal RNA", at positions 338 to 795 of the family's 1533-position model. The record is from RNAcentral.